CAGUAGCCGCGGUAAGACGAACCGUGCGAACGUUAUUCGGAAUUACUGGGCUUAAAGCGCGUGUAGGCGGGCCGCCACGUCGGUUGCUGAAAUCCCCCGGCUCAACCGGGGAAGUGGCAUCGAUACGAGCGGCCUUGAGGGGGGUAGGGGGAUCUGGAACUUCCGGUGGAGCGGUGGAAUGCGUUGAGAUCGGAAGGAACGCCCGUGGCGAAAGCGAGGUCCUGGACCCUUUCUGACGCUGAGACGCGAAAGCCAGGGGAGCGAACGGGAUUAGAUACCCGCGUAGUCCCUGUCUCUUAUA
RNAcentral lists this ribosomal RNA (301 nucleotides) under uncultured bacterium. Its description in RNAcentral is "partial 16S ribosomal RNA". It matches the Rfam family "Bacterial small subunit ribosomal RNA", at positions 509 to 807 of the family's 1533-position model. The record is from RNAcentral.